ACCCCACCCACACCAUACACCCCUCUUUUACCCCUGUCGUCUCUCUGCCUCCCUCAGACUCUAUCUCCAACCCCUUUCUCUCUCUACCUUCCCCAGAUUCGGUCCAUCCUCUCUCGUUCUCGAUCUCUCUCAUAUCUACCUCCCUCAGACUCCUUUCUCUUGCCUCCAUCUCUCUCUCUCUCUCUCUCUCUCUCGCUCUCCAAGACUCCAACCCCCUUUCUAUCUCUACCUUCGCCAGAUUCGGUCGUUCUCUCUUCCUUUCCUGAUCUCUCUCAGAUCUGGGCUUUUUGGCCUGACACCUCCACGAUCCGAGUUUUCUACUAGUGACGAGGUUCCUGUGACCGUGCAGGCAUCAGCGGCGCUGGACAAAGAAGAGGAAAGGCUGUGCAAAUCCGCAGGAACUUUGCUUGUGGUUUGCUUUUGUGGGUUUGAUUUUUGUGUAAUUUUUUAACAAAUUUUGAUUUUUUUGUAUUUUAUCUCGCAGAAAACUCAACUUCUCCUCAGUGCGUUUGUUGUGGUGCUUUGUUGGGGCUUUCCCGGCUAAUAGAGUAUAAAUUUCCCAGAAACUCGACGAACUCAGAGAAAGCAGUUGGAGCAGCUGUGACUUCUAUUUUUUUUCUCUCUAGAAAAUGGUUUACAGUUUUGUAGAUUUCGUUUUGCUGUCAGUUGUGCUUUGUUGGGGCUUUCCCAGCUAAAAGAGUACUUUGCGUUUUGGUUGCUCAAUUAAUAAAUCUGAGAUUUGCUAGCACCUGUGAUAUUGCUGUUAUACUUUGGAAAUGAGAAGAAGAAGAAAUUGAAAGGAUAAAGCUUCAUACUUUGGUGUAUAAUUAAUUGAAGAAAGAGAAAAUUACUUGUUCAAUACUCUGCCAGUUGUGAAAACAGCAACCGAGCCACUAAAUCCAUGUAUGCGGACAAAGAUGGUGGAAGGACUAAGAAAGAUAAGCAAGAGUUAUACUCUUGCAAUCACUAAAGUUGAGGAGUCUGGGGAGCACACGAUAUUAGGGACAGGAGAACUCUACUUGGAUUCAAUAAUGAAGGACCUAAGAGAGCUUUAUUUGGAAGUAGAAGUCAAGGUAAUUGUUUGCUCCCAAUCCUCAUCCUCUCUUCACGUUAUUUGUUUUUAAAGUAACUUUUCUACCCCUUAAGAAUGUAAAUUUAGGGUUUUUGAAAUUUAAUUUUCGAAUUCUAGAUUAGGGUUUCUAAAUUUAGGGUUUGUGAAAUUUAAUUUUCAAAUUCUUGAAAUUUUGGUUUCACGGAUUCUAUUUAAUUGAUCUAAUGGUUCUUGGGUUUUUGCUUAUUGGACCAUCUUUGACUAUUGAGGUUCAAAGUAUUUGUGAAGGUUUUGGUUCAGUGCAGUAGGAAUAAGGCAGAAGCUAGUUGAGAGAAUAUCUGGCAUUUUGUAUAAGAUUUGUGAAGUAAGAUUCUUCCCUUUUUUGUUCUGCUUCAAAGUUUUAAUUUUGUGAGAGGUUCAAAUAUUGCACAUGUUAUCUUCAUUAAUUCGUUUCUGUAGCAGCAGAGGUUUGAUGAAGUGCAAGGCUUGUUGAGGAAGAUGCAUCUGUCCGAAAAUGUUUGUUUUCAAGUCUUUUUGUAUUAGAGAUAAAAUAUGUAACAUUAUAAUAUAUGUUUGUGAGAUUGGGAAAGUGAAAGUUGGUUUCAUGGUUGUAGGCUGUUUUCCUUUUAUGAAAAUUUAAAUUUUUGCA
Long non-coding RNA from Pyrus x bretschneideri (Chinese white pear), 1700 nucleotides. RefSeq lists it as uncharacterized. The transcript is spliced from 5 exons. The record is from RefSeq and is a predicted model, not a curated record. NCBI's taxonomy places the organism in Eukaryota, Viridiplantae, Streptophyta, Magnoliopsida, Rosales, Rosaceae.